UUGUAGUCUGCAACUCGACUACAUGAAGCUGGAAUCGCUAGUAAUCGCGAAUCAGAAUGUCGCGGUGAAUACGUUCCCGGGUCUUGUACACACCGCCCGUCACACCAUGGGAGUCAGUAACGCCCGAAGUCAGUGACCCAACCUUUAUGGAGGGAGCUGCCGAAGGCGGGACCGAUAACUGGGGUGAAGUCGUAACAAGGUAGC
RNAcentral lists this ribosomal RNA (204 nucleotides) under uncultured bacterium. RNAcentral's name for it is "partial 16S ribosomal RNA". It matches the Rfam family "Bacterial small subunit ribosomal RNA", at positions 1298 to 1500 of the family's 1533-position model. The record is from RNAcentral.